GCUGGUUGUUCUCCAUGAUCGAGGGGGUCGCGGAGCUGCUGCCCAGUUCGGCCAGUCUCCGGUUGGUGGCUGUCAGCUCGGCUCGCAGAGGCCAGGAACAGAGCCCAAAGACCGACCGACCUACCACAGCAGCCUGAAGGAUGGAGCCUUGCAACAAGCAGGUGUAGUAGCAGUUUCUCGUACUACACCGGCUCCCCCCAAAAAAAUCCUACAGCAAAUCACUGUAUGCAUAAAAUCCAAGAAACUCACCAGCCACUUGGUGACAAUUCGCAAACAGAAAGGGAGGCAUGAGUCCUGGAAUGCCCGAUAUCUCUAGCUACUGUUCCCUUUAGGAUUUGAUUUCUCCGCACACUGAGCUUUUGCCUGAAGAGAGUGCACAGUAUAGCAGAAAUUCUGAGAUGUCAGCCGGCAGCUGGCGUGGUGAGAGUCGAAGAGAAAAUGAGCAGCUCGCUAUGUGCCCACAGGCAUAAGCAUGAGACAGCGACAUGGGCAAAGUGAUUUUCAGUGUGACAGAGUUGGAGUUUGCUGGCCGCAUACAAUUAAAACAGAAUAAAACCCUCUUCUUGCUGAGCUCCAGAUCACAGAUGGUCCCCCAAUGGGGUGCAGCAGCAGCAUAAGAAACACUCAUGCAAAAUGGGGAAACUGAAGCACAGAGUGAUUACAUGACUUGCCCAAGGUCGCACAAGAAGUCUGGAGUGACACCAAAUCCUCCAAGCCCCAGUUCAGUGCUUUAUCUCCACUGACACCCUCUUAUUCUAGGUGUUCAGUAACUUGUAGAAUCAAACACAAACUUAACACCAGUAUUCUUAAAUAUCUGAAAAGUUAAAUAUUGAGCAACAAGUUUCAGGAGAAAUGGACCUUAAGAGAAGACUAUAUUCUCCAAGACGUUAUAGAAGAUGGGUGGGUGGAGGGAAUCCAAGUAAUAUUUGGAAAUAUUAAAAUACAGUCUAUAUUGUUUGGUAUUGCUUUAGAUGUCUGAGUUUUUUCAGGCCAGGGAAUGGGAGGGAAGUCGGAAAUGAAAGGGGUGGGGAGUAAGAAAGAGGUACCAUUAAGAGUUCUGGCCAACCUCUAAUUUGCUAUUCAGUUUACCAGCCUGUAGUUUAUUAUGUAUGGUAUGUGAAGGAACCUGUUUAGCCAGAAGGGAAAUGCCUUUUGUGUUAAGAGUGACCGUAAUCUAAUAUGGCCUUUUGACUUGACUCAAUUAAAUCCUUUCUGUUUCGAUUAAAUAAUCAGCCACAAUUUAAUAAAAUGAAUUUCAGUG
This is a long non-coding RNA of Trachemys scripta elegans, 1261 nucleotides long. RefSeq lists it as uncharacterized. NCBI's taxonomy places the organism in Eukaryota, Metazoa, Chordata, Testudines, Emydidae. The transcript is spliced from 4 exons. The record is from RefSeq and is a predicted model, not a curated record.